CUUUUUCUCCCAAACCACUUCUUCCCCCCUACCCCCCGCCACGCGAGGCUGCGGCGCACGGUAUGGGUGUGUUUGUGUGUAUUUGUGUGGGGAGGGCGUUUGGAGGGAAGGUUACCGGGAGCUCCGAGGCCGCUGGGGAACAGGGAUCCCGGUGACAAAGAUGGGGAUAUUUCCUCUGUCUUCCACUUGGAAACCUCAACCCCCGCUUCAGGCUCCCUAGAUACUUUCUGGGGCCCAACCGAAGGCCGUAGCCAUCCAAAGCGUUCCCAGCCUUUCUGGGGAGUGAAACUUACCCCCGGGGUUCGUCCUAGAGGAGCGUGAGCGGGGAAUGCCCAGGUCAACCGGGCUGUCCGAAUUCCGCCCCGGCUCAGCCUCCGGCCUCAGUCCGGGAGAGAGAUCUGCCUGUCGGUCUGGGCUGGGGGAAACGCGGCAGUGGCCUGGGCCACAGGUGAGGGCAGAGUAACCAGUGGGAAGGCUGCGUUUUCACGAAGGACUCGGGUGAAGCUGCAGAGCUGCCUUUGAGCCCUGACUCCUUGGCUUCCUGGGUCGGAGGAGAUCUUGUAAUGGAGUGGUUCUUCGUCUCACUAGCAAGAUGCCUGAUUUCCUCAGGAUCAAGGGAUUGAAGAAUGUCCCGGAUUCCACUGGGGAAGGUCCUCCUGAGGAAUGUCAUCCGGCACACAGAUGCUCACAAUAAGGUGGGAGGUACAACCUAGUUACUCCUCAACGCUUACUGAAGAUUCAGGAGGAAUCAGAUAUGUGGAAAAUAAGAGAACUGGAAAAACAGAUGGAAGAUGCUUACCGGGGGACCAAAAGGAAAAUGCUACCCAGCAGUUCAAGCCGGAUGCGCAGUGAUGGUUUUGAUGAAGAAAGUCAAAGAUACUAUUGGAGGCCAAAGAAUGAAAUUUCUGGGACACUGGAAGAUGAUUUUCUUAAGGCUAAAUCCUGGAAUAAAAAGUUCUAUGAUUAUGAAGCAAACAUGCCAGACAGAUGGGGUCACAGUGGUUAUAAAGAGUUAUACCCUGAAGAAUUUGAAACAGACAGUAGUGAUCAGCAAGAUAUUACCAACGGGAAGAAAACAUCUCCCCAGGUAAAGUCAUCUACCCAUGAAUCCCGCAAACACAAGAAGUCAAAGAAAUCCCACAAAAAAAAGCAGAAAAAAAGGUCACACAAAAAACAGAAGAAAAGCAAAAAGGAAGCCACAGAUAUAACAGCAGAUUCCUCGAGUGAGUUCUCAGAAGAAACUGGGGCUUCUGGUACAAGGAAAGGGAAACAACCACAUAAACGCAAGAAAAAAUCCAGGAAAAAGUCUCUCAAAAAACCUGCUUUAUUCUUAGAGGCAGAAAGUAACACUUCACAUUCAGAUGAUUCAGCAUCCAGCAGUUCUGAGGAAAGUGAGGAAAGAGACACUAAGAAAACCAAAAGGAAAAAGAGAGAGAAAAAAGCCCAUACCUCUGUAGCCAACAAUGAAAUACAGGAGAGGACAAACAAACGCACAAAUUGGAAAGUAGCUACAGAUGAAAGGUCUGCUGAGAGCUCAGAGGAUGACUAAAUGGGAAACACUUUUGUUUUCCACAUGACUGUGGAUAUUUACAGUUCUUACUCCUUGUGGUUUUGCCAGUGACUCUUGUUCAGCACGGGGCCUGAGGUCAGAGCUGUCUUGUGCCAUCUGUAUGUUCUGACAGACGUCUUGUCUUCUAUUUUGGCGUUAAGCUUGAUCCCCUUUUCUUGUUAAAAGGGAAUCUGGUAUUUUGUUAUGAAGGUUUCUUGAAGAGAUUAUUUUUUUUUGCAAUUAAUUACGUUUAGUGUAGAGUGCAUAUACAGCAAAUUAAAGGACCCAGAAAGCUGGAUCCAAUAGUGACCUGGGUACACCAAUCGGAAUAUUGAAUUUGGGGAAGUCAAGGGCUGGGAUCAAGAGGUGGAUUGGAACUAAUGCCAUGUAGGAUGGUAUGACAAGGCAACACUGUAUUGCUCUCUGUUUAUAUAGCAGGUGUCACAACUAACUUGUCUUUAGCCUUGGUGCUUUGAUCCUUCUAUAUUUUGACCCCACAGGUGUGGUCCGGUUUACUUAAUCAGGACAUGGGCCUAAGAACAAACCUUUUCCCUUCAUGAUAACAUCCAUAGACAACUUAUUAGAAGGGACUAGAGUUUUUGCAAAUUUCCCUGCUGGAUGGGGCCUAUAGCUAUACUUAGUAUAUGCCUAAACAUGGUAAUUGGAUAGUAAAUGGUUUUCUAGUUCCAUUGCUGUAUAUUUGCCUAAAUGGACUUGUGUUCAAAUUAUUUCUUCAAUUGUCAUAGAUAAUCCUGUACCAAAUGGGGAAGAAUUAGGAAAUAAUCAUGUUGUCUAAUGGUACUCUGGAUUCAGGGCAGCAACUGCCAUUUAAAUGUUGUCUUGUUCAUUUCUAAAUCUGUUCAUGAAGUUUAGGUUUUCCCUGAAACUAAGUUGAAUUAUUUCCAAAAUGAAACAGGCUUCUCAGGGACAUAUCCACUUCUUCCCAGUCUGCCUUUGGAUUAAAGCACCAAGCAGAGACCACAUUAAUUCCCUUUGCUAUACUGUGAUCCUUAGUAUGUUAAUUCUUAAGAAACCAACAUAUCACUGAAAGAAGGCUGGCAGAACGCAAGUGCAUUUUUUCACUGUGGGAAGAAAGAUCAAGUGACGUAUUAUUUUUUCCUGGUUGUCACUUAAUGGGCUGAGUAAAAAGCUUGAAAACUCAGACUUUCGGUCUUGGUUCUGCCACUCAUUGGUUAUGAGGAGGCCCAGAGCAGGUAAGUUCACCUUCCUGGCCUUACUUUCCUGAUGUGUAAUACGGAAUUACUUCACAGUAGCAUGACAGUAUAAGACACCAGCAGUAGAUACAACUAUGAUGACAUUCCAUGAGUUGGUAUUUUUAGUUCUAACUGCUAAAUUUGUUCUCUUUACGGGACAGAUUUCUAAUAAAGUGCUUGGUCUUAAAAUACAUGGUUGGACAGAGGUGCCCUAUCCCUUAACUAUGAGCAGGUGCUACCUUUUGGGAUAUUUAUUUUAAAUUUUAAUACUUUGGUACUCAAUUGUCAGUGUUCCAUGGUGUGUAUUUUUAUUUUUGGGAUUAGUGGGGGUCUAAAGGGAGAAGAAUAGUCUCUAAUUACUACCUCUUAACCUAAAGCAAUUAUUUUGUUCCUGGAGCAAGUUAAAUCUUUGUUGGAAGGAGCUUUGGCCAUAUAUUUUUUAGCAUGCAUUGUUUCUGUGCCCUGAAAGUACCUGAAAGGUUUUAAGCACAGACUCAGGAAAAUGUGCCAGUAGAACAGGCCAUCUCCAGGAAAUUGGCUCUAUUUGGGUCCUGACCUUCCCUUCCUCCCAAGUUAGCAGGCUUGUUCUUUCGCAAGGAAUACACAUCUUGCCUUUUUUUUUUUUUUUUUGCCAUGUUUUCCUUUUCUUGGUCAUGUAUAAGCAAUAAAGCUGUUUUUUGUUCUUCAUCUUUCUUAACCCCAAAUUUUCUUCUAUGCCUUAGGCUUCGAUGGUUCUUCCAACCCCCUUAAUAUGGCUUAGGGUGGUUUUUCAAAACCUACAAUCCCCCAUUUGCACUACUGGCCAUGGAACAUUUAUUUCUAGUGUUCCUGCCAAUCAGAGAUCUCUAUAUUAAAUUCUAAAAUGGGAUUAAAAGAAGAGUUGGAGAAUUCACACUUAUUGAGUAACUGAUGUCAUACAACCUGGAAUUUCUGAAUUCCAAAUAAAUAAAUUUCACUCUUUGAA
Molecule: RNA transcript, 3727 nt
Organism: Homo sapiens (human)
Lineage: Eukaryota; Metazoa; Chordata; Mammalia; Primates; Hominidae
Gene: NKAPD1
Gene name: NKAP domain containing 1
Exons: 6
Source: RefSeq, marked validated